GACGAACGCUGGCGGCGUGCUUAACACAUGCAAGUCGAACGGAAAGGCCCUGCUUUUGUGGGGUGCUCGAGUGGCGAACGGGUGAGUAACACGUGAGUAACCUGCCCUUGACUUUGGGAUAACUUCAGGAAACUGGGGCUAAUACCGGAUAGGAGCUCCUGCUGCAUGGUGGGAGUUGGAAAGUUUCGGCGGUUGGGGAUGGACUCGCGGCUUAUCAGCUUGUUGGUGGGGUAGUGGCUUACCAAGGCUUUGACGGGUAGCCGGCCUGAGAGGGUGGCCGGCCACAUUGGGACUGAGAUACGGCCCAGACUCCUACGGGAGGCAGCAGUGGGGAAUAUUGCACAAUGGGCGGAAGCCUGAUGCAGCAACGCCGCGUGCGGGAUGACGGCCUUCGGGUUGUAAACCGCUUUCGCCUGUGACGAAGCGUGAGUGACGGUAAUGGGUAAAGAAGCACCGGCUAACUACGUG
This 468-nucleotide ribosomal RNA is filed under the name uncultured bacterium. Its description in RNAcentral is "partial 16S ribosomal RNA". It matches the Rfam family "Bacterial small subunit ribosomal RNA", at positions 28 to 507 of the family's 1533-position model. The record is from RNAcentral.